Non-coding RNA from Caenorhabditis elegans, 149 nucleotides. NCBI's taxonomy places the organism in Eukaryota, Metazoa, Nematoda, Chromadorea, Rhabditida, Rhabditidae. The record is from Ensembl.
CAAAAUCACUCAGUACAAUGCAACUGUUGAAAGUCCAAUUUAAAACAAUUGUCGUGGGCACUUAGGCAGCAGAUACGCCUGUAGGCAGGCAGGAGGCAGGCAUGAUUCUCCUACGUAGAUUAAGGACAACUAGAGAAAAAGUCGAAAGC